CGAAGGGGGCUAGCGUUGUUCGGAAUUACUGGGCGUAAAGCGCGCGUAGGCGGUGAUCCAUGUCAGAGGUGAAAGCCCGGAGCUCAACUCCGGAACUGCCUUUGAAACGGGACCGCUAGAGUCCGAGAGAGGAUGGCGGAAUUCCUAGUGUAGAGGUGAAAUUCGUAGAUAUUAGGAAGAACACCGGUGGCGAAGGCGGCCAUCUGGCUCGGUACUGACGCUCAGGCGCGAAAGCGUGGGGAUCAAACAGGAUUAGAUACCCUGGUAGUCCACGCUGUAAACGAUGAGUGCUAGUUGUUGGGGUAUUUAUAUCUCAGUGACGAAGCUAACGCGAUAAGCACUCCGCCUGGGGAGUACGGCCGCAAGGUUA
Molecule: ribosomal RNA, 370 nt
Filed under: uncultured organism
Description: bacterial SSU rRNA
Rfam family: Bacterial small subunit ribosomal RNA
Source: RNAcentral